Molecule: non-coding RNA, 90 nt
Organism: Ascosphaera atra
Lineage: Eukaryota; Fungi; Ascomycota; Eurotiomycetes; Onygenales; Ascosphaeraceae
Source: the annotation of a GenBank genome assembly
GGGGGGAUGGCUCAGUGGUAAGGGCUGUGCCUGGCCGACCUCAAAGGACUGCACCACCUGAGGUAGCGGGUUCGAAUCCUGCUCUCCCUA